UACGUAGGCAGCGAGCGUUGUUCGGAGUUACUGGGCGUAAAGAGUGCGUAGGCGGUUUUCUAAGUUUGGUGUGAAAUCUCCCGGCUCAACUGGGAGGGUGCGCCGAAGACUGGAAGGCUUGAGUAUGGGAGAGGUAAGCGGAAUUCCUGGUGUAGCGGUGAAAUGCGUAGAUAUCAGGAGGAACACCUGCGGUGUAGACGGCUUACUGGACCAUAACUGACGCUGAGGAACGAAAGCCAGGGGAGCGAACGGG
RNAcentral lists this ribosomal RNA (253 nucleotides) under uncultured bacterium. Its description in RNAcentral is "partial 16S ribosomal RNA". It matches the Rfam family "Bacterial small subunit ribosomal RNA", at positions 524 to 776 of the family's 1533-position model. The record is from RNAcentral.